Molecule: non-coding RNA, 63 nt
Organism: Ictidomys tridecemlineatus (thirteen-lined ground squirrel)
Lineage: Eukaryota; Metazoa; Chordata; Mammalia; Rodentia; Sciuridae
Source: Rfam
AGGGAUAUAGCUCAGUGGUAGAGUACUUGCCUAUCAAGCAAGAAGCCCUGAGCUUGGUCCCUA